AAUUAGAAAUCUUCAGACAUGUUAGUUGACAGAAUAUGCUUAAUAAAAAUGAAAAAACCUUGCUCCAAGGGUCAUCCAGUCAUGAAUAUUGUUAAGUUAAGUUCUCCUUCUUUUUAUCUUGCAUACCUAUAUAAACUUUAAAAAAAAAAAAAAAAAAAAAAGAUAAAAGCAAUCUUAAAAUAAGAGAAGUGAAUAAUGGUUCCGAUAAUUAGAAUCUGAAGAAAGUGAGACUUCAGAAAGGCAGCAAGAUGACAUGUCAGUGCAUGCCUGACUCUUCUAGUCAUCAAUGAAAAUUUUGCAAUUACAAUGUAACUUCUUAAAAAUACAAGAAAUAUAAACAUUCAAAUAUGUUUUGUCUUCUUGAUAAAAAUUACUUUCCAUAAGAAUUAAUGCUAACUCUUAGAGUUCUGUACUAUAGGAAAGAUACCACACACUAAUCAGGUAUAAUGAUUGUAGAAUUAUUUUUUAGAAGUGGUAAAUAUAGAAAGGUUAUAGACUAAGCCAGAACUCUUAGAUUCAGGUCUGUAUACAGAUUUAGCACUACUUACAUAAAAAGGAUUACCUCAUCUUUAUAUCAGCUCAGAAAUAGACCAGAGAGUACUUUUUGAAGAGCAGUUUUAGGGAGUUAAUUCAGCUUGUAAUCAAUGUUCUUCCAGUUUUGACUGCAUCUGAAGAAAACAGCCCAGAUGAAAAACAAGAGAGCCAAUUCAACAGAGAUUUGGUUGCCACUGUGUGAACAUGGCUCCUGACCUGAGGCCAGCAGGAAGGGUACCUAUAUGAGAAGGAGCUCCACAUGCCUCCAUGAAUGGCUAUCCACACCUGUCUUGGUGAUGCAGAGACCCUAUGCUUUCACUUUUGUCACUCGUACAGCCUUUUGGAGGGACAAUGUGCUGAGACCCCAGGAAAACUGCACAGUGCUUGAAGAAGAUACAUCAAAAAUCACUUUUGUUCUGAGAUCAGAUCAGGUGCAUCCAGGCUGGACUGCCUUGAGAGGACACUCUACCAGAAGAGAUGUGCCAGGACUACACUUAGUCUGCUCUAGUAGUGGAUAGGGAUUCAGCCUUCAGAUCUAGUGGUCCAAAGCAACCUGCCAACAAAUGGAGAAAUCACGUAUGCCAUGUCCUGAGCGUUGACUGAUCCAACCAGCACAGCUCUGCAGAGCCCUUCUAGCACAUCCCACCACUGGCUCACUCUGAUGGAACUUGCACAGCUGACCCAAUUCACUUAUCCCAGCCUGGUUGCUUUGACAGUCUCUUUGCCUUAGGAAGAACACUGCUUCUCUACACUUGCUUUCAGAGAAAGGCAAGCUGUUAUUCAUUAUUUCUAUUUCUUUUUCUUUUCCUGUUGUAAUUUUCGUCAAGUAGGUAUACCACCUAAAAGACAAAUGGGAAGAAGAAGGAAAUGGCCCAUUCUUUUACUGUUUAAAAUGUUGUUUCGUCUGUGUCACUUUAAUUCUAAAACAUGAGAUGCAAGGGUACAGAGAACACUGGUGUUUAUCUUGAAUCUCUGCCUUUGUUUUGAAUCAAAAACACAGCACCCAGGCCAAAGACAAUACUAAACAUCUACCGCUGAGGUCACUGAUCUGCAAUUUGUUGUGGUGACAGAUCCAAUAUUGUGCUUGGGGAACAGACUGGAUGGCUGUUAAUGCACUAUUAUAGGCACAGUUGGGAAAUUGGCUGAGCACCAGGUAACUGGAAGAACUGGAGCUUAUUACACAAGUCCAAGAGUGUUUUAACUUGUGGGUUGAUUGCUAACAUGGGGAGAGCUUUUAAAAUGUUAAUUGAUUUUUUUUCUUAAUAAUAACACAAACCAUCUGUAGCUUUGAACUUAAAUUUAACUUCUAUAAUUAAGUCAGAGCCUUCUACUACAAGAACUGUCAUACACCAAUCUUUUCAUACUAAUUUUGUUUCAGUUUGUCACAUCAUUUAAAGCCCUGGCCCACCAGAGCAAGGCUUUAAUUAACAGUAAAAUAGUUUUAAGGGAACCUCUGUAUGAAGCAUGAGGAAUUGAGUUUGGACCUGUUUGGAUAACACAGAUAAUUGACAUAGUAUUUUGUGUCUUACCAAUGUGUUUGUGGAAAGUAAGUUGUUACAUUUAUCUAUGGAUUAUCGAUGAUUAACUUUCUAGCCACUGCUUAAACCUCUUUUUUAAUGUGCAAAUUUCUCACAGCCACACACUAUACUGCAUUUGUCCAACUCUGAAAAGUCAAGACAUUAGCAACCCAUGCAACAACAAAUAAAAAUUACUGGGGAUGGGGCA
This 2259-nucleotide long non-coding RNA is filed under the name Anas platyrhynchos platyrhynchos (common mallard). Its description in RNAcentral is "lncRNA (ENSAPLG00000022000.1)". Lineage: Eukaryota; Metazoa; Chordata; Aves; Anseriformes; Anatidae. The record is from RNAcentral.